This 404-nucleotide ribosomal RNA is filed under the name Eurycope producta complex sp. 8 AD-2018. RNAcentral's name for it is "partial 16S ribosomal RNA". Lineage: Eukaryota; Metazoa; Arthropoda; Malacostraca; Isopoda; Munnopsidae. The record is from RNAcentral.
GUAGCAUAAUCAUUUGUCUUAUAAUUGAAGGCUGGUAUGAAUGAGUUUACGGUGCUAAGACUUUUUUAAAUAAAAUUUUGAAUUUAACUUUUUCAUUAAAAGGUGAAAAUGGUCAAAGGGACGAUAAGACCCUAUAAAGCUUAAAUCAACAGGUUUGUUUAUUAUUAAGAAUAUUGAAUAAAUUUAUGGAUUGAGCUGGGGCGGUACUUAUUUUUCUAUAAGAAAUUUAACAUUUAUAAAUGAAAAUUUAGAUCUUAAAAAAGAUUUAGAAUAAGCUACUUUAGGGAUAACAGCAUAAUUUUUUAAAAUAGAUCUUAUAGAUUAACAAGACUUAUGACCUCGAUGUUGAAUUGAGGGGCUUCCUAUAAGCAGGAGUAUAGUGAAGGGGUCUGUUCGACCUUUAA